AAUAUUUGUCAAUGGAGGCAACUCUGAACCAGCCAUGCCUUGUGCAGGAUGUUGGNCCNNUGGAUNGNAAACUGCUUUUGUACNNNNNGAAAAAGUGAUCCUCGUAGCUUAUUUACUGUACUCUAAGAAUAAGGAUAUGUAAACUCAGGCCCAGUAGCAGCGGUAAUACGGAGGAUCCAAGCGUUAUCCGGAAUCAUUGGGUUUAAAGGGUCCGUAGGCGGCCUUAUAAGUCAGCAGUGAAAGUUUUUGGCUUAACCAAAAAAUUGCCGUUGAUACUGUAGGGCUUGAAUUUUUGUGAAGUAACUAGAAUAUGUAGUGUAGCGGUGAAAUGCUUAGAUAUUACAUGGAAUACCAAUUGCGAAGGCAGGUUACUAACAAACGAUUGACGCUGAUGGACGAAAGCGUGGGUAGCGAACA
RNAcentral lists this ribosomal RNA (417 nucleotides) under uncultured bacterium. Its description in RNAcentral is "partial 16S ribosomal RNA". It matches the Rfam family "Bacterial small subunit ribosomal RNA", at positions 360 to 774 of the family's 1533-position model. The record is from RNAcentral.